Pelobates cultripes (western spadefoot toad) is the source of this 210-nucleotide non-coding RNA. The record is from the annotation of a GenBank genome assembly. Lineage: Eukaryota; Metazoa; Chordata; Amphibia; Anura; Pelobatidae.
GUAAAAGUAAUGGGGAUUUACGUACAGUAUUUCAUUAUCAGCAGAGUAUCUCAGGAAAAUCCCAACAAGUUGGAUCUCAUUUUGAUAGUGCUGUUUAUGGGCAGCCAUCACAAGGAAUAGCUCUGCUAUCACUUCGUUCUUCAUUGGUGACUACAAUUUUGCAGUUUCCUGUCUUCUUUACAAGUUCUGUUUCAGGGUUAUUUACUGAAG